RNAcentral lists this long non-coding RNA (310 nucleotides) under Elaeis guineensis (African oil palm). RNAcentral describes it as "long non-coding RNA (EGUI_LNC047998)". The record is from RNAcentral. Lineage: Eukaryota; Viridiplantae; Streptophyta; Magnoliopsida; Arecales; Arecaceae.
AAGGGGUCAUGGGAGCAAGCGAGCAGAAGAAUUAGCCAGGAUAGCAUGUUUCAGUAGCUUAGUCGACUUAUUUUUGAGACUAGGUCAACUAAGUUGAAGGUGAGUCGACCCAAUCUCAGAGUGAGUCGACUAUGUCUCAGAGGAUGGCCAGUCAGAAAGCUGUGUUUCAAGAUUUUUAGGCCGGCAUGUAGGUGAGUCGACUCAAUUUCAGACUGAGUCAACUUAGUCACAGUAACUACGUCAGCUUAAUCUGAGACUGAGUCAGCUCAGUUUCAUGGGCAGAACUAUGUGAAUUUUAUAUUUGGGUCUA